RNAcentral lists this ribosomal RNA (620 nucleotides) under Bacillus amyloliquefaciens. Its description in RNAcentral is "bacterial SSU rRNA". It matches the Rfam family "Bacterial small subunit ribosomal RNA", at positions 56 to 658 of the family's 1533-position model. The record is from RNAcentral. Lineage: Bacteria; Bacillati; Bacillota; Bacilli; Caryophanales; Bacillaceae.
UGCAAGUCGAGCGGACAGAUGGGAGCUUGCUCCCUGAUGUUAGCGGCGGACGGGUGAGUAACACGUGGGUAACCUGCCUGUAAGACUGGGAUAACUCCGGGAAACCGGGGCUAAUACCGGAUGCUUGUUUGAACCGCAUGGUUCAAACAUAAAAGGUGGCUUCGGCUACCACUUACAGAUGGACCCGCGGCGCAUUAGCUAGUUGGUGAGGUAACGGCUCACCAAGGCGACGAUGCGUAGCCGACCUGAGAGGGUGAUCGGCCACACUGGGACUGAGACACGGCCCAGACUCCUACGGGAGGCAGCAGUAGGGAAUCUUCCGCAAUGGACGAAAGUCUGACGGAGCAACGCCGCGUGAGUGAUGAAGGUUUUCGGAUCGUAAAGCUCUGUUGUUAGGGAAGAACAAGUGCCGUUCAAAUAGGGCGGCACCUUGACGGUACCUAACCAGAAAGCCACGGCUAACUACGUGCCAUCAGCCGCGGUAAUACGUAGGUGGCAAGCGUUGUCCGGAAUUAUUGGGCGUAAAGGGCUCGCAGGCGGUUUCUUAAGUCUGAUGUGAAAGCCCCCGGUUCAACCGGGGAGGGUCAUUGGAAACUGGGGAACUUGAGUGCAGAAGAUAA